UACAGAGGUGGCAAGCGUUGUUCGGAAUUACUGGGCGUAAAGGGCGCGUAGGCGGCCUUCUAAGUCAGACGUGAAAUCCCCCGGCUUAACCUGGGAACUGCGUCUGAUACUGGAAGGCUCGAGUAUGGGAGAGGGAUGUAGAAUUCCAGGUGUAGCGGUGAAAUGCGUAGAUAUCUGGAGGAAUACCGGUGGCGAAGGCGGCAUCCUGGACCAUUACUGACGCUGAGGCGCGAAAGCUAGGGGAGCAAACGGG
This 253-nucleotide ribosomal RNA is filed under the name uncultured bacterium. RNAcentral describes it as "partial 16S ribosomal RNA". It matches the Rfam family "Bacterial small subunit ribosomal RNA", at positions 524 to 776 of the family's 1533-position model. The record is from RNAcentral.